This 802-nucleotide ribosomal RNA is filed under the name uncultured Sulfitobacter sp. RNAcentral describes it as "bacterial SSU rRNA". It matches the Rfam family "Bacterial small subunit ribosomal RNA", at positions 22 to 869 of the family's 1533-position model. Lineage: Bacteria; Pseudomonadati; Pseudomonadota; Alphaproteobacteria; Rhodobacterales; Roseobacteraceae. The record is from RNAcentral.
GCUCAGAACGAACGCUGGCGGCAGGCCUAACACAUGCAAGUCGAGCGCAGUCCUUCGGGACCGAGCGGCGGACGGGUUAGUAACGCGUGGGAACAUACCCUUUUCUACGGAAUAGCCUCGGGAAACUGAGAGUAAUACCGUAUAAGCCCUUCGGGGGAAAGAUUUAUCGGGAAAGGAUUGGCCCGCGUUAGAUUAGAUAGUUGGUGGGGUAAUGGCCUACCAAGUCUACGAUCUAUAGCUGGUUUUAGAGGAUGAUCAGCAACACUGGGACUGAGACACGGCCCAGACUCCUACGGGAGGCAGCAGUGGGGAAUCUUAGACAAUGGGCGCAAGCCUGAUCUAGCCAUGCCGCGUGUGUGAUGAAGGUCUUAGGAUCGUAAAGCACUUUCGCCAGGGAUGAUAAUGACAGUACCUGGUAAAGAAACCCCGGCUAACUCCGUGCCAGCAGCCGCGGUAAUACGGAGGGGGUUAGCGUUGUUCGGAAUUACUGGGCGUAAAGCGUACGUAGGCGGAUCAGAAAGUAGGGGGUGAAAUCCCAGGGCUCAACCCUGGAACUGCCUCCUAAACUCCUGGUCUUGAGUUCGAGAGAGGUGAGUGGAAUUCCAAGUGUAGAGGUGAAAUUCGUAGAUAUUUGGAGGAACACCAGUGGCGAAGGCGGCUCACUGGCUCGAUACUGACGCUGAGGUACGAAAGUGUGGGGAGCAAACAGGAUUAGAUACCCUGGUAGUCCACACCGUAAACGAUGAAUGCCAGUCGUCGGGCAGUAUACUGUUCGGUGACACACCUAACGGAUUAAGCAUCC